AAUAUUGCUCAAUUGGGGUAAGCUUAAUGCAGCAAUGACGUGGGAGUGAAGAGGCGUGCGGGUGGUAAAGCAAUUUCAAAAGUAAGAAAGAAAAGAUAUUAAUAACCAUAAGUCUUUACAUACUCUAUACAAGAAGCUCGGGCUAACUUCGUCCAAGCAGCCGCGGAAAUACGGAGGGUGCGAGCGUUAAUUGGAAUUAUUGGGGGUAAAGCGGGCGUAGGUGGUUCGUCAGUCGGAUGUAAGCCCCGAGUUCACCUGGAACUGCAUUCGUAUGCCUUGCAUGGUAUGGAGAGGGAAAGGAAUUGUGUUUUGGGUGAAAAUCGUUAAUUCCAGACGGAACAAGUGGCCAAGGCGGCCUCUUGGAACAAUAACACGCUGGAGGCGAGAAAGGGUGGAGCAAACACAGGAAUAUAUCCCGUUUUCUACCCCCC
Molecule: ribosomal RNA, 431 nt
Filed under: uncultured marine bacterium
Lineage: Bacteria
Description: bacterial SSU rRNA
Rfam family: Bacterial small subunit ribosomal RNA
Source: RNAcentral